AUGAAAUGUGCCUAUCAGUGCACAGAAGCACUUUUGGGAGAAGUGUGGCCAUGCUGGCCCUGGCUAGCUAGCACUGCAGCACCCAUACAGCUUGACAGGUUCCAGACACAGCUGGCUCAGCUCUGGCUUGGGCAUCUCUUCAGGAUUCAGCCAGCGUCAUGCAAGUGCCUCUGCAGUAGAAGGGCCCCUGAUCUGCAUCCAGCAACCCAGCACCAUGCUCCACACAGACCCAGAAGGAGGCUCCUCUGCUGGCAGAACAAUUCCUUUCAUGGCUGGGCUGAUGAAGAGGUGUCCUGGGCACCUGUUAAUGACCACAGGUCCCAAGAGCAUGGUAUGGAGUGUCUCUGAGCAUGCUUGCAGCGUUUGAAUCUGUUUUGAUCUCCCCACUCUGAUGUCCCUACAAAUCCAUACUGUGUGCAGAGGCAAGGGGAGAGGGCCACAGCCUGAGCAAAGAAGAUGUGGAUAUGGCACCUUUUUAUAUGCUGCUAGUUAUUACUGGCAGUGAUAUAGCUCCUUGGGAUCCAGACAUUAACUACUACUGCCCUGAAAUUGCUCGCCAGUGUAUAUUGAAUGCAAUAGUGGACAGUGACCUCCCGAGGCACUGAGCUCUGCUUCUUGGUCUCACAAAGAGGCAUUUACAUCCUCAUCCCUCAGCAUGGUGUGCUCACAAUACCUUACCCUGACCCUACUGUAACCCCUGAAAGGCUGCAUCUGGACUGUUCCAAUGGACAGAAACCAUCUAAUUCCCAGUACAAAUUUGUCUGGCUGGUUUUGUGAGAACAGUGAACUUAAAUUUAAGCAGCUUUUCACCCUCCCUCAUGUUUGACCUAAUUAUAUGUUUACAGAGAAUAAUGGUGUCCUCCCACUUUCUGUUUGACUAGAAUGAACAUGGCAGCCUUUUUUCCUCUAACACGAUGGGCUCAUCAUUCCCCUGAUUGUACCAGCUUCCCAUGUUGGCAUUUGCUCCAGUUUUAAUUCUUCUCUCUUGAAAAUGAUUGACAAGAAUGAUACCAAUUGUUCCAAGUGAUGUCUCUAUUUCUACCGUGCAGCAACCACAGUACUCCCUUGUUUGUAUUGUAUGUCCCUCCCCUGGCACAUCUAAAGAUCUCAUUUACCUCUUGCAUGUCCAUUUCAGGUUGUGAGCUCAUGUUUGUGCUGUGAUUGACUGGAACAAGCAAGUCUUGUCUCCUGUUUUCUUGUUUCAAAUUGAUAAGCUUUCAGUGUGUAGGUGAAACUCUCACACACAGUGCCCAAAUCUGUGGCCUUGCUUUUCAUACUGCUAUUCUCCCUCACGCUGACCCAAUCCUCACAAUACUCCAUGUGACAUUCUAGUGAUUCUUGGCAUUGA
This 1348-nucleotide long non-coding RNA is filed under the name Anas platyrhynchos platyrhynchos (common mallard). Its description in RNAcentral is "lncRNA (ENSAPLG00000022009.1)". Lineage: Eukaryota; Metazoa; Chordata; Aves; Anseriformes; Anatidae. The record is from RNAcentral.